AAAUUAGUUCGCCUAAUAUAAUAAUGAUUUCAUUUAUUAUCAUCUUCGACCUCCACCGUUCACAAAGUACUUAUUUACUUUAAUGAAGCUUUUUAAAGCUCCAAAGCGCAAUGAAAGUGUUAAAUCCAGUUACUUGUCAUCGCAUCUGGCACGUCAUGAAAAUGCCAUGCUCUCCACAAUGCGACAAACCAGCCUAGUAACGUUGCGACGAUUUGAUUUCAUGAUGACAGAGGAUAGGAAUUUGUUUGACAAUUUACGAUGGGAGGAAGAUGUUGUGCAAAGUCGCAUUGUCGAAAUUGUGGCUUCACUAGGCGACUCCUGAAGAAUAAAUGUACGCAGCAGAAGAUAAGAUAAUAUCUUUGUUGAAAGGAUCGCAAAAUGGAGCAUCAGUUCGAGACUUCAUAGAUUCGAUUGAUCAUUCAAGGAAACAGAAACAGAACAAAUGCUUUUGCACGAGAAUGAAUUAUAAAUUUUAAUUUAUAAAAAUUUAUUUUUUUAAAUUUUUAUCUACAAUAUCC
This is a non-coding RNA of Bactrocera oleae (olive fruit fly), 518 nucleotides long. Lineage: Eukaryota; Metazoa; Arthropoda; Insecta; Diptera; Tephritidae. The record is from RefSeq and is a predicted model, not a curated record.